RNAcentral lists this ribosomal RNA (671 nucleotides) under uncultured marine eukaryote. RNAcentral describes it as "SSU rRNA". It matches the Rfam family "Eukaryotic small subunit ribosomal RNA", at positions 617 to 1290 of the family's 1831-position model. The record is from RNAcentral.
GGUUAAAAAGCUCGUAGUUGGAGUUCUGCCAGGUGCCGCCUGUCCGCCCCAGUGGUGAGUACGUGGCGCGCAUUUGGCCCUUUCAAGGGGAGCGUAUUGCACUUAACUGUGUGGUGCGGGAUCCUUGACUUUUACUUUGAGGAAAUAAGAGUGUUCCAAGCCGGCUCUCGUCGUGCAUAGCUCAGCAUGGAAUAAUAGCAUAGGAUCUCGAUUCCAAACUGUUGGUUGUAGGAAACGAGAUUCAUGAUGAAGAGGGAUAGUUGGGGGCAUUCGUAUUUAACUGUCAGAGGUGAAGUUCUUGGAUUUGUUAAAGACGAACUACUGCGAAAGCAUCUGCCAUGGAUGUUUUCAUUGAUCAAGAACGAAAGUUAGGGGAUCGAAGACGAUCAGAUACCGUCCUAGUCUUAACUAUAAACCAUGCCGGCUAGAGAUCGGAGGUUGUUCGUUUUGUGACGCCUUCAGCAUCUUGAGAGAAAUCAAAGCCUUUGGGUUCCGGGGGGAGUAUGGUCGCAAGGCUGAAACUUAAAGGAAUUGACGGAAGGGCACCACCAGGAGUGGAGCCUGCGGCUUAAUUUGACUCAACACGGGGAAACUCACCAGGUCCAGACUGGGUAAAGAUGUACAGAUUGACAGCUCUUUACAGGAUUCUCAGGGGUGGUGGUGCAUGGGCC